RNAcentral lists this ribosomal RNA (446 nucleotides) under uncultured bacterium. RNAcentral describes it as "bacterial SSU rRNA". It matches the Rfam family "Bacterial small subunit ribosomal RNA", at positions 329 to 792 of the family's 1533-position model. The record is from RNAcentral.
UGCCAGACUCCUACGGGAGGCAGCAGUGGUGAAUAUUGCACAAUGGGGGAAACCCUGAUGCAGCGACGCCGCGUGAGUGAAGAAGUAUUUCGGUAUGUAAAGCUCUAUCAGCAGGGAAGAAAAUGACGGUACCUGAUUAAGAAGCCCCGGCUAACUACGUGCCAGCAGCCGCGGUAAUACGUAGGGGGCGAGCGUUAUCCGGAAUUACUGGGUGUAAAGGGAGCGUAGACGGCGAGGUAAGCCUGAAGUGGAAGCCCGCGGCCCAACCGCGGAACUGCUUUGGGAACUGUUUUGCUGGAGUAUGGGAGGGGUAAGCGGAAUUCCUGGUGUAGCGGUGAAAUGCGUAGAUAUUAGGAGGAACACCAGUGGCGAAGGCGGCUUGCUGGGCUUUUACUGACGCUGAGGCUCGAAAGCGUGGGGAGCAAACAGGAUUAGAUACCCGUGUA